Molecule: ribosomal RNA, 540 nt
Filed under: Salmonella enterica
Lineage: Bacteria; Pseudomonadati; Pseudomonadota; Gammaproteobacteria; Enterobacterales; Enterobacteriaceae
Description: bacterial SSU rRNA
Rfam family: Bacterial small subunit ribosomal RNA
Source: RNAcentral
UGAAGAGUUUGAUCAUGGCUCAGAUUGAACGCUGGCGGCAGGCCUAACACAUGCAAGUCGAACGGUAACAGGAAGCAGCUUGCUGCUUUGCUGACGAGUGGCGGACGGGUGAGUAAUGUCUGGGAAACUGCCUGAUGGAGGGGGAUAACUACUGGAAACGGUGGCUAAUACCGCAUAACGUCGCAAGACCAAAGAGGGGGACCUUCGGGCCUCUUGCCAUCAGAUGUGCCCAGAUGGGAUUAGCUUGUUGGUGAGGUAACGGCUCACCAAGGCGACGAUCCCUAGCUGGUCUGAGAGGAUGACCAGCCACACUGGAACUGAGACACGGUCCAGACUCCUACGGGAGGCAGCAGUGGGGAAUAUUGCACAAUGGGCGCAAGCCUGAUGCAGCCAUGCCGCGUGUAUGAAGAAGGCCUUCGGGUUGUAAAGUACUUUCAGCGGGGAGGAAGGUGUUGUGGUUAAUAACCGCAGCAAUUGACGUUACCCGCAGAAGAAGCACCGGCUAACUCCGUGCCAGCAGCCGCGGUAAUACGGAGGGUG